This 480-nucleotide ribosomal RNA is filed under the name uncultured bacterium. RNAcentral's name for it is "partial 16S ribosomal RNA". It matches the Rfam family "Bacterial small subunit ribosomal RNA", at positions 28 to 523 of the family's 1533-position model. The record is from RNAcentral.
GACGAACGCUGGCGGCGUGCUUAACACAUGCAAGUCGAGCGAUGAAGUUUCUUCGGAAAUGGAUUAGCGGCGAACGGGUGAGGAACACGUGAAGAAUCUGCCCUCCACUUUGGGAUAACACAGGGAAACCUGUGCUAAUACCGAAUAUUUAAACAUAAGUGGCAUCACUGAGUUUUGAAAGAAUUUCGGUGGAGGAUGACUACGCGGCCUAUCAGCUAGUUGGUGAGGUAAUGGCUCACCAAGGCAACGACGGGUAGCCGGCCUGAGAGGGCGACCGGCCACACUGGGACUGAGACACGGCCAGACUCCUACGGGAGGCAGCAGUGGGGAAUAUUGGGCAAUGGAGGAAACUCUGACCCAGCGACGCCGCGUGCGGGAUGAAGGCCUUCGGGUUGUAAACCGCUUUCAGUAGGGAAGAAGCGAAAGUGACGGUACCUACAAAAGAAGCACCGGCUAACUAUGUGCCAGCCGCCGCCGUAA